RNAcentral lists this ribosomal RNA (538 nucleotides) under uncultured bacterium. Its description in RNAcentral is "partial 16S ribosomal RNA". It matches the Rfam family "Bacterial small subunit ribosomal RNA", at positions 355 to 885 of the family's 1533-position model. The record is from RNAcentral.
UGGGGAAUAUUGGACAAUGGGCGCAAGCCUGAUCCAGCAAUGCCGCGUGUGUGAAGAAGGCCUUCGGGUUGUAAAGCACUUUAAGCAGGGAAGAAAAAACUCGGUCUAAUACAUCGAGUCUUGACGGUACCUGAAGAAUAAGCACCGGCUAACUCUGUGCCAGCAGCCGCGGUAAUACAGAGGGUGCUAGCGUUAAUCGGAUUUACUGGGCGUAAAGCGUGUGUAGGUGGUUGUUCAAGUCAGUUGUGAAAUCCCCUGGGCUUAACCUGGGAACUGCUUCUGAGACUGAACGACUAGAGUACGGUAGAGGGUGGUGGAAUUUCCGGUGUAGCGGUGAAAUGCGUAGAUAUCGGAAGGAACAUCAAUGGCGAAGGCAGCCACCUGGGGCCUGUACUGACACUGAGACACGAAAGCGUGGGGAUCAAACAGGAUUAGAUACCCUGGUAGUCCACGCCGUAAACGAUGAGAACUUGACGUCGGUUUGUCUGCAAGUCGGUGUCGUAGCUAACGCGAUAAGUUCUCCGCCUGGGGAGUACGG